CCUACGGUGUGCAGCAGUGAGGAAUAUUGGUCAAUGGGCGGGAGCCUGAACCAGCCAAGUCGCGUGAGGGAAGACGGUCCUAUGGAUUGUAAACCUCUUUUGCCGGGGAGCAAGCGUGCGUUCGUGAACGCGCGUCGAGAGUACCCGGAGAAAAAGCAUCGGCUAAGUCCGUGCCAGCAGCCGCGGUAAUACGGAGGAUGCGAGCGUUAUCCGGAUUUAUUGGGUUUAAAGGGUGCGUAGGCGGGAUGCCAAGUCAGCGGUAAAAAUGCGUUGCUCAACGCCGUCGAGCCGUUGAAACUGGCGUUCUUGAGUGGGCGAGAAGUAUGCGGAAUGCGUGGUGUAGCGGUGAAAUGCAUAGAUAUCACGCAGAACACCGAUUGCGAAGGCAGCCUUCCGGCGCCCUACUGACGCUGAGGCACGAAAGUGCGGGGAUCGAACAGGAUUAGAUACCCUGUAGUC
RNAcentral lists this ribosomal RNA (459 nucleotides) under uncultured bacterium. RNAcentral describes it as "partial 16S ribosomal RNA". It matches the Rfam family "Bacterial small subunit ribosomal RNA", at positions 338 to 795 of the family's 1533-position model. The record is from RNAcentral.